This 595-nucleotide ribosomal RNA is filed under the name uncultured bacterium. Its description in RNAcentral is "bacterial SSU rRNA". It matches the Rfam family "Bacterial small subunit ribosomal RNA", at positions 64 to 672 of the family's 1533-position model. The record is from RNAcentral.
GAACGAGAGAAGAGAAGCUUGCUUUUCUGAUCUAGUGGCGGACGGGUGAGUAACACGUGAGCAAUCUGCCUUUCAGAGGGGGAUACCGAUUGGAAACGAUCGUUAAUACCGCAUAAUAUAAUUGAACCGCAUGAUUUGAUUAUCAAAGAUUUAUCGCUGAAAGAUGAGCUCGCGUCUGAUUAGCUAGUUGGUAAGGUAACGGCUUACCAAGGCGACGAUCAGUAGCCGGACUGAGAGGUUGAUCGGCCACAUUGGGACUGAGACACGGCCCAGACUCCUACGGGAGGCAGCAGUGGGGAAUAUUGCACAAUGGAGGAAACUCUGAUGCAGCGAUGCCGCGUGAGGGAAGAAGGUUUUAGGAUUGUAAACCUCUGCCUUCAGGGACGAAAAAUGACGGUACCUGAGGAGGAAGCUCCGGCUAACUACGUGCCAGCAGCCGCGGUAAUACGUAGGGAGCGAGCGUUGUCCGGAAUUACUGGGUGUAAAGGGAGCGUAGGCGGGAUCGCAAGUCAGAUGUGAAAACUAUGGGCUUAACCCAUAAACUGCAUUUGAAACUGUGGUUCUUGAGGUGAAGUAGAGGUAAGCGGAAUUCCUA